RNAcentral lists this transfer RNA (66 nucleotides) under Ginkgo biloba (maidenhair tree). RNAcentral's name for it is "tRNA-Lys". It matches the Rfam family "tRNA". Rfam says of the family: Transfer RNA (tRNA) molecules are approximately 80 nucleotides in length. The record is from RNAcentral. Lineage: Eukaryota; Viridiplantae; Streptophyta; Ginkgoopsida; Ginkgoales; Ginkgoaceae.
UGGGUUGCUAACUCAAUGGCAGAGUACUCGGCUUUUAAGUUCCGGGUUCGAGUCCCGGGCAACCCA